This 253-nucleotide ribosomal RNA is filed under the name uncultured bacterium. RNAcentral describes it as "partial 16S ribosomal RNA". It matches the Rfam family "Bacterial small subunit ribosomal RNA", at positions 524 to 776 of the family's 1533-position model. The record is from RNAcentral.
UACGAAGGGUGCAAGCGUUAAUCGGAAUUACUGGGCGUAAAGCGUGCGUAGACGGCUUAUUAAGUCGGAUGUGAAAGCCCCGGGCUCAACCUGGGAAUGGCAUCCGAUACUGGUUGGCUAGAGUGCGGUAGAGGAGAGCGGAAUUCCCGGUGUAGCGGUGAAAUGCGUAGAGAUCGGGAGGAACAUCCGUGGCGAAGGCGGCUCUCUGGACCAGCACUGACGUUGAGGCACGAAAGCGUGGGGAGCAAACAGA